Molecule: signal recognition particle RNA, 264 nt
Filed under: Chloroflexota bacterium
Lineage: Bacteria; Bacillati; Chloroflexota
Description: Chloroflexi bacterium signal recognition particle sRNA large type
Rfam family: Bacterial large signal recognition particle RNA
About the family: The signal recognition particle (SRP) is a universally conserved ribonucleoprotein involved in the co-translational targeting of proteins to membranes. Archaeal SRP consists of a 7S RNA and homologues of the eukaryotic SRP19 and SRP54 proteins.
Source: RNAcentral
UCGUGCUAGGCGGGGCAGUGGCGGAGCCUUGAACCCGCAAUCCGCCGUAGCGGGGCUGAAUCCCUCCCCGAGGUCGAAGCUCGUGGCCUCUGUCCCUGGCAGGGGGUGUUGAGAGCCGGGUCCCACGCGGCGGAUGCCUGUGAACCCCGUCAGGUCCGGAAGGAAGCAGCGGUAAGCAGUGAUGUUCCGGGCGCCGUGGGAGUGCCUAGCUUGAGCCUGCUCCAGGCGUCACGUCCCGAGUGGAGAUCGAAGGAAGGUGCGCGA